AAGCUGUGCAGUGAGAACAAUGCGAACUAUUCUUUCGCCUUUUACUAAAGAAUACCGUGUUCUAUGCUCUUAAGCAGCGUACACCUAUUUUUGGAAAGGGUUUCUGCAAAAACCCU
Non-coding RNA from Arabis alpina (gray rockcress), 116 nucleotides. The record is from Rfam. Lineage: Eukaryota; Viridiplantae; Streptophyta; Magnoliopsida; Brassicales; Brassicaceae.